AAACUUUCAACAACGGAUCUCUUGGCUCUCGCAUCGAUGAAGAACGCAGCGAAAUGCGAUAAGUAGUGUGAAUUGCAGAACUUUGUGAACCAUCGAACCUUUGAACGCAAAUUGCGCCUUCUUUCGGAAGGCAUGUCUGUUUGAGGGCACCAUU
RNAcentral lists this ribosomal RNA (154 nucleotides) under uncultured Paraglomus. Its description in RNAcentral is "5.8S ribosomal RNA". It matches the Rfam family "5.8S ribosomal RNA". From Rfam's summary of the family: 5.8S ribosomal RNA (5.8S rRNA) is a component of the large subunit of the eukaryotic ribosome. It is transcribed by RNA polymerase I as part of the 45S precursor that also contains 18S and 28S rRNA. Functionally, it is thought that 5.8S rRNA may be involved in ribosome translocation. The record is from RNAcentral. Lineage: Eukaryota; Fungi; Glomeromycota; Glomeromycetes; Paraglomerales; Paraglomeraceae.